This 446-nucleotide long non-coding RNA is filed under the name Rhinopithecus bieti (black snub-nosed monkey). Its description in RNAcentral is "lncRNA (ENSRBIG00000045701.1)". The record is from RNAcentral. Lineage: Eukaryota; Metazoa; Chordata; Mammalia; Primates; Cercopithecidae.
UGUUUUUUGCUUUUUUGCUCAUGUGUUCAACAUCCAGGAGAAAUGAGGACCCAAAACUUAUCCACUGGUUACGUGUGGUGUGUGUGGCUGUCAUCUCCUCGGGACUGGCUACUGAAGGCCACAGGAGCGGGAGGACCAAAGGCUCCCUGGAUGUUGUGUCCUGGCCUGUGAGCUGCACACAGUCCCGCUUGCAGCAAAGAUGUGGUGGGCAGCUGGGCUGUGAGGGAAGGCCAGGCUGUGACAGGAACCUCAGAUCUCACCGGGGAAUGAGAGUGGUAUCCCCCUGCAGCGGGAGUCCGUGCUGGCCUGAGAGGCUCCAGGCUGUGCCACCCCGGGCAGACCCCAAACUUCAGGGAGCUGCCAGGAUCAAUGGCUACAAGGGUCCCCGCCGAGUUUGGAGAAACAAGGUGAAUUCAGAUAAGAACCUGGGAUGUCUCCCGGGAUAG